CCGGGAUUCAGUGCCGCAGCUAACGCAUUAAGCACUCCGCCUGGGGAGUACGACCGCAAGGUUGAAACUCAAAGGAAUUGACGGGGGCCCGCACAAGCGGUGGAGCAUGUGGUUUAAUUCGAGGCAACGCGAAGAACCUUACCAGGUCUUGACAUCCCGAUGCUAUUUCUAGAGAUAGGAAGUUACUUCGGUACAUCGGUGACAGGUGGUGCAUGGUUGUCGUCAGCUCGUGUCGUGAGAUGUUGGGUUAAGCCCCGCAACGAGCGCAACCCCUAUUGUUAGUUGCCAUCAUUCAGUUGGGCACUCUAGCAAGGCUGCCGGUAAUAAACCGGAGGAAGGUGGGGAUGACGUCAAAUCAUCAUGCCCCUUAUGACCUGGGCUACACACGUGCUACAAUGGUUGGUACAACGAGUUGCAAGUCGGUGACGGCGAGCUAAUCUCUUAAAGCCAAUCUCAGUUCGGA
This 463-nucleotide ribosomal RNA is filed under the name uncultured bacterium. RNAcentral's name for it is "bacterial SSU rRNA". It matches the Rfam family "Bacterial small subunit ribosomal RNA", at positions 833 to 1297 of the family's 1533-position model. The record is from RNAcentral.